RNAcentral lists this long non-coding RNA (962 nucleotides) under Olea europaea subsp. europaea. Lineage: Eukaryota; Viridiplantae; Streptophyta; Magnoliopsida; Lamiales; Oleaceae. The record is from RNAcentral.
UUUCAGUAAAAUCCUUUUGUGUAAGCUAGUUGCCAACAUGAUCUACAAACGUCUUGAAAGCAGAUAGAUAUAGCAGGAUCUCGAUGGAAAAGUUGCAACCCAUUCUGUCUCUAUUUUCUUGGCAAUGAGAAUGGACACUUAUACAUUUAAGAGUCCACUCUGUAAGCAUCUAGACCUUGGCACCAGCUUCUACCUUUAGAACUUCAUCUCCAUUGCAUUGUAAUAGUUGUUCAAGUGGAGCUUCCCUAGAAAAGACCACAUUCCCAUUGCUUUUCCCUACAACCUUCGGCGCACUACUAACUGCAGCCUCAUUUUCAUGAUGAUUAUCAUUGCUAAGAGUCGGAUCUCUAGACUCAUUAGUUUCCAUUUCUAUGUCUUCUUCUUCAGCAUUAUUUUUAGCAAAUCGCCAACAAACCCCACUUGAAAACAUGUCCCAAUCAUCAUUAUGGUGGUUGAAGAUGAAGACAUGAAAUCAUAUGCACGCUUUUCCCUUCAAGUACAUCUCAGCUAUUCCCACCCUCAUUUCAUCACCUACUCGUUAUAUCUAGAAAUAUUUUCGAGCUUUCCACAACCAUUCUCUAGGGUCUUUUCUCUAAAAUAAGGAAAGUUUAUUUUGGUUGGUUUGGUAUUCAUCCUAGCCUCUCUAGCUCCUAGUGUAUUUCUAGAGGGAUGGUCAUUUUCCAUAGGACUACCACUGCUAAUUUGAGAUGGAGUACCAUAACCCUCAAAUUGUUUUUCCCUAUGGUUUGCCUUACUCUCAUUUAUCUGAGCCAUCAUAUAUACAAUAUAUUCAUAUUUACUGUUCAUUUUCACCAUCAAAUGCUCCAUCCUGUCCUGCUUAGAGCAAACCACCUUCAACAUUUGAUCCAAUGAUUUUGUCGCCACACCCAAAUCUGAUAUUUUUUCAUUUAACUUCUUAAGGUGCUCCUCAUUUGAUUUGCUCCUAGUUUCAACCUUGCCCA